This 492-nucleotide ribosomal RNA is filed under the name uncultured bacterium. Its description in RNAcentral is "partial 16S ribosomal RNA". It matches the Rfam family "Bacterial small subunit ribosomal RNA", at positions 29 to 507 of the family's 1533-position model. The record is from RNAcentral.
AGUGAACGCUGGCGGUAGGCCUAACACAUGCAAGUCGAACGGCAGCACAGUAAGAGCUUGCUCUUACGGGUGGCGAGUGGCGGACGGGUGAGGAAUACAUCGGAAUCUACUUUUUCGGGGGGGAUAACGUAGGGAAACUUACGCUAAUACCGCAUACGACCUACGGGUGAAAGCAGGGGAUCUUCGGACCUUGCGCGAUUGAAUGAGCCGAUGUCGGAUUAGCUAGUUGGCGGGGUAAAGGCCCACCAAGGCGACGAUCCGUAGCUGGUCUGAGAGGAUGAUCAGCCACACUGGAACUGAGACACGGUCCAGACUCCUACGGGAGGCAGCAGCAGGGAAUAUUGCGCAAAGGGCGCAAGCCUGACGCAGCAACGCCGCGUGAGUGAUGAAGGCCUUCGGGUUGUAAAGCCCUUUUGUUAGGGAAGAAAAACAGCAGGAUAAUCCCCCGACGUUCUGACGGUACCUAAACAGUAAGCACCGGCUAACUUCGUG